UCAAUCCUUCAGGGCAGGGUGCAAUUCCCUACCGGCGGUGAUGCAACUGUGAUUGGCUGAACAAGCUGAUUGCGCUGCUCAGUCCGCUACCCGCUUCGUAUAUAUCAUACGGACGGUGGACCCGGUGCAAUUCCGGGACCGACAGUAUAGUCUGGAUGGAAGAAGGAGAGA
Molecule: non-coding RNA, 171 nt
Filed under: Paenibacillus riograndensis
Lineage: Bacteria; Bacillati; Bacillota; Bacilli; Caryophanales; Paenibacillaceae
Description: FMN sequence
Rfam family: FMN riboswitch aptamer (RFN element)
About the family: The RFN element is a highly conserved domain that is found frequently in the 5'-untranslated regions of prokaryotic mRNAs that encode for flavin mononucleotide (FMN) biosynthesis and transport proteins. This element is a metabolite-dependent riboswitch that directly binds FMN in the absence of proteins.
Source: RNAcentral